UCCUAUUUAGUAGGCGGUCUGGCUAGAGCGGUUCAACUAGCCACGAGGGUUGCGCUCGUUGCGGGACUUAACCCAACAUCUCACGACACGAGCUGACGACAGCCAUGCAACAUCUGUGAACUUGUCCGAAGAGGAGACUGUUUCCAGCCUUUACAAGCCCAUGUCAAGCCCAGGUAAGGUUCUUCGCGUUGCAUCGAAUUAAACCACACGCUCCGCUGCUUGUGCGGGGCCCCGUCAAUUCCUUUGAGUUUUAGCCUUGCGGCCGUACUCCCCAGGCGGGGUGCUUAAUGCGUUAGCUUCGGCACGGAGGGAGUCGACACCCCCCACACCUAGCACCCAUCGUUUACGGCGUGGACUAC
This 359-nucleotide unclassified non-coding RNA is filed under the name uncultured bacterium. RNAcentral describes it as "contains 16S-23S intergenic spacer region". The record is from RNAcentral.